Molecule: long non-coding RNA, 540 nt
Organism: Brienomyrus brachyistius
Lineage: Eukaryota; Metazoa; Chordata; Actinopteri; Osteoglossiformes; Mormyridae
Exons: 2
Source: RefSeq, a predicted model, not a curated record
CUCCUUCCUGCGAAGGCGCGAGCACCGGGAUCGGGAUCGGGAUCCGGAUCCGGAUCAAGAGCGGGGAUGGGAUCUCCAUCGGGAUCGGGAUCAGGACCGAGAAUGGAAUCUCAUUUGGGGCCGGGAACGAAACUGGGAUCGGGGACGACAAAUCAAAUGCAUCUGCACCUGGACCGGUAUCACGCCGUGACACUGCGGCAGCACCGGUACUGUGUUCGGUAUUGGCACCUGUGUGCUCAGAAUCAGCAUCCUCCCGGGGACUCGGCCAUGCGAGACUCGGAUCGCAGGCUUUGGAUAAGACGAUGUUAGCGCUGCUCACACUCUUAUUGUUUGGGUUUAAGGUCGUGAUGGUACAUUCCAUGAAAGUCCCACAUUUUGAAAACCAGGAAAGAGACCGGUCACUGUUCUGAAUUCCUGACUGGACUGAAAAGGGUUAAAAGCAAGUUUAAUGGUUUGUUUUCACACCAAUAAAAAAGUAAGCAAAAAUCACCUUGUUACCUUGAUUCUUUAGAGGGAAAAAAAAAAAAAAAAAGAUUAAAA